GACGAACGCUGGCGGCGUGCUUAACACAUGCAAGUCGAACGGAAAGGCCCCCUUGUGGGGUACUCGAGUGGCGAACGGGUGAGUAACACGUGAGUAACCUACCCUUGACUUUGGGAUAACUUCAGGAAACUGGGGCUAAUACCGGAUAGGAGCUCCUGCUGCAUGGUGGGGGUUGGAAAGUUUCGGCGGUUGGGGAUGGACUCGCGGCUUAUCAGCUUGUUGGUGGGGUAGUGGCUCACCAAGGCUUUGACGGGUAGCCGGCCUGAGAGGGUGACCGGCCCCAUGGGGCCGGAGUUCCGGCCCGGCCUCCUCCGGGGGGAACCAGGGGGGAUUUUGCCCAACGGGGCGGAGGCCUGAGCCAGCACCCCCGGGUGGGGGAGGGCGGCUUUCGGUUUUGAACCCGCUUUCCCCUGUGACGAAGGGGGAGGGCGGGUAAUGGUGAAAGAAGCCCCGGCAACUUCCGU
This 464-nucleotide ribosomal RNA is filed under the name uncultured bacterium. RNAcentral's name for it is "partial 16S ribosomal RNA". It matches the Rfam family "Bacterial small subunit ribosomal RNA", at positions 28 to 506 of the family's 1533-position model. The record is from RNAcentral.